This 497-nucleotide ribosomal RNA is filed under the name uncultured bacterium. RNAcentral's name for it is "partial 16S ribosomal RNA". It matches the Rfam family "Bacterial small subunit ribosomal RNA", at positions 28 to 507 of the family's 1533-position model. The record is from RNAcentral.
GAUGAACGCUGGCGGCGUGCCUAAUACAUGCAAGUCGAGCGAACGGACGAGAAGCUUGCUUUUCUGAUGUUAGCGGCGGACGGGUGAGUAACACGUGGAUAACCUACCUAUAAGACUGGGAUAACUUCGGGAAACCGGAGCUAAUACCGGAUAAUAUUUUGAACCGCAUGGUUCAAAAGUGAAAGACGGUCUUGCUGUCACUUAUAGAUGGAUCCGCGCUGCAUUAGCUAGUUGGUAAGGUAACGGCUUACCAAGGCAACGAUGCAUAGCCGACCUGAGAGGGGGAACGGCCACACUGGAACUGGGACACGGUCCAGACUCCUACGGGAGGCAGCAGUAGGGAAUCUUCCGCAAUGGGCGAAAGCCUGACGGAGCAACGCCGCGUGAGUGAUGAAGGUCUUCGGAUCGUAAAACUCUGUUAUUAGGGAAGAACAUAUGUGUAAGUAACUGUGCACAUCUUGACGGUACCUAAUCAGAAAGCCACGGCUAACUACGUG